Molecule: unclassified non-coding RNA, 1076 nt
Filed under: uncultured fungus
Lineage: Eukaryota; Fungi
Description: sequence contains 18S rRNA gene, ITS1, 5.8S rRNA gene, ITS2, 28S rRNA gene
Source: RNAcentral
CGAAGCCGAACCGCGGGCGAAGGACGAAAGCUGGAGCGAUCGUCGCGCGCGCCCCGAUCAGACCGAACUGCGACAAAUCAAGGAGUGAUUUUUGGCCCACGGAAUACACGGAACACACUGAAAUGAACGACAGCCGAGGAAUCUCUUCCGCGUAUUCCGUGUGUUCCGUGGGCAACCCUGUCUGAUCCGAAUGGCCAUCGAACAAACAUUUCCCGACAGUGCGGCGAAGACGGCUGCCGCUGCUCCCGCGGAGUUCCAGACCGAAAAGAUGUCGCUCUCGAUGGGGCCGUCGCAUCCGUCGACGCACGGCGUGCUCCGGCUGCAGAUGGAACUCGACGGCGAGAUACUCACCAAGGCCGAUCCGGUUCUCGGCUACCUGCACCGCGGCGACGAGAAAAUCGCGGAGAACAUGACGUACAACCAGUUCGUGCCCUACACGGACCGGUUGGAUUAUCUGGCGCCGCUGGCGAACAACAUGGCGUAUGCCAUUGCGGUCGAGCGGCUGGCCAAGCUCGAGGUGCCGCCGCGUUGCCAGGCGAUUCGGGUGAUUACAGCAGAGAUGGCGCGGAUUUCGUCGCACAUGAUGGGAUUGGGGGCAUUCGGGCUCGAUGUCGGCGCGUGGAGCGUGCUGCUCUACUGCCUCGAGGAGCGCGAGAAGCUCUACAAGCUUUUCGAGGAACUCACCGGCGCGCGGUUCACGACCAGCUACACGCGGGUCGGCGGCGUGACACGCGAUGUGCCCGAAGGCUGGCUCGGCCGGGUAAACGCCUUCUGCGAUCAGUUUCUGCCGAUUCUCGAGGAGACGCUAAAGCUGCUCACGCGAAACAAGAUCUUCAUGGAUCGGACCGCGGGAGUCGGUGUGAUCUCGAAGGAUGACGCGCUGGGCUACGGGAUCACCGGCCCGAACCUGCGCGGCUCGGGCGUCGGGCUCGAUUUGCGCAAGGACAAGCCGUACUCCGGCUAUGAAAACUACGAGUUCGACGUGCCCGUGGGUUCGACCGGCGACUGCUACGAUCGCUAUCUCGUGCGCGGGGAGGAAAUGCGGCAGUCGGUCCGGAUCAUCAGGCAGGUGAUCG